RNAcentral lists this ribosomal RNA (250 nucleotides) under uncultured bacterium. Its description in RNAcentral is "partial 16S ribosomal RNA". It matches the Rfam family "Bacterial small subunit ribosomal RNA", at positions 366 to 606 of the family's 1533-position model. The record is from RNAcentral.
GGAUGAGAUGGCCGCAAGCCUGAUCCAGCAAUGCCGCGUGAGUGAAGAAGGCCUUCGGGUUGUAAAGCUCUUUCAGUUGAGAAGAAAAAGUCGUGACUAAUAAUCAUGAUUCAUGACGGUAUCAACAGAAGAAGCACCGGCUAACUACGUGCCAGCAGCCGCGGUAAUACGUAGGGUGCAAGCGUUAAUCGGAAUUACUGGGCGUAAAGGGUGCGCAGGCGGUUCUGUAAGUCAGAUGUGAAAUCCCCGG